UACGUAGGGUGCAAGCGUUAAUCGGAAUUACUGGGCGUAAAGCGUGCGCAGGCGGCUUUGCAAGACAGAUGUGAAAUCCCCGGGCUCAACCUGGGACCUGCAUUUGUGACUGCAUCGCUAGAGUACGGCAGAGGGGGAUGGAAUUCCGCGUGUAGCAGUGAAAUGCGUAGAUAUGCGGAGGAACACCGAUGGCGAAGGCAAUCCCCUGGGCCUGCACUGACGCUCAUGCACGAAAGCGUGGGGAGCAAACAGG
This 253-nucleotide ribosomal RNA is filed under the name uncultured bacterium. Its description in RNAcentral is "partial 16S ribosomal RNA". It matches the Rfam family "Bacterial small subunit ribosomal RNA", at positions 524 to 776 of the family's 1533-position model. The record is from RNAcentral.